RNAcentral lists this ribosomal RNA (402 nucleotides) under uncultured bacterium. Its description in RNAcentral is "bacterial SSU rRNA". It matches the Rfam family "Bacterial small subunit ribosomal RNA", at positions 355 to 774 of the family's 1533-position model. The record is from RNAcentral.
UGGGGAAUAUUGGACAAUGGGGGAAACCCUGAUCCAGCAAUGCCGCGUGAGUGAAGAAGGCCUUAGGGUUGUAAAGCUCUUUCGCCCGCGAAGAUAAUGACGGUAGCGGGAGAAGAAGCCCCGGCUAACUCCGUGCCAGCAGCCGCGGUAAUACGGAGGGGGCUAGCGUUGUUCGGAAUUACUGGGCGUAAAGCGUACGUAGGCGGAUGCGCAAGUUGGGGGUGAAAUCCCGGGGCUUAACCUCGGAAUUGCCCUCAAAACUGCACGUCUUGAGACCGAGAGAGGUAAGGGGAAUUCCUAGUGUAGAGGUGAAAUUCGUAGAUAUUAGGAAGAACACCAGUGGCGAAGGUGCCUUACUGGCUCGGUACUGACGCUGAGGUACGAAAGCGUGGGGAGCAAACA